AUUGAACGCUGGCGGCAGGCCUAACACAUGCAAGUCGAGCGGAUGAAGGGAGCUUGCUCCUGGAUUCAGCGGCGGACGGGUGAGUAAUGCCUAGGAAUCUGCCUGGUAGUGGGGGAUAACGUCCGGAAACGGGCGCUCAUACCGCAUACGCCCUGAGGGAGAAAGUGGGGGAUCUUCGGACUCCACGCUAUCAGAUGAGCCUGCGUCGGAUUAGCUAGUUGGUGGGGUAAGGGCCUACCAAGGCGACGAUCCGUAACUGGUCUGAGAGGAUGAUCAGUCAAACUGGAACUGAGACACGGUCCAGACUCCUACGGGAGGCAGCAGUGGGGAAUAUUGGACAAUGGGGGCAACCCUGACCCAGCAAUGCCGCGUGUGUGAAGAAGGCCUGAGGGUUGUAAAGCACUUUCAGUGGGGAGGAGGGUUGAUAGGUUAAGAGCUGAGUAUCUGGACGUUACCAACAGAAGAAGCCCCGGCUAACUCCGUG
Molecule: ribosomal RNA, 484 nt
Filed under: uncultured bacterium
Lineage: Bacteria
Description: partial 16S ribosomal RNA
Rfam family: Bacterial small subunit ribosomal RNA
Source: RNAcentral